AACGAACGCUGGCGGCGUGCUUAACACAUGCAAGUCGAACGCGAAAGUCCUUUCCGGGGGCGAGUAGAGUGGCGCACGGGUGAGUAAUGCAUAGGAACAUACCUAUAGGUGGGGAAUAACCAGGGAAACUUUGGCUAAUACCGCAUAAAGCGUAAGACUAAAGGAGGCCUCUCUUGAAAGCUUCCGCCAAUAGAUUGGCCUAUGUCCCAUUAGCUUGUUGGUAGGGUAACGGCCUACCAAGGCGACGAUGGGUAGCUGGUCUGAGAGGAUGAUCAGCCACACUGGAACUGAGACACGGUCCAGACUCCUACGGGAGGCAGCAGUGGGGAAUCUUGCACAAUGGGCGAAAGCCUGAUGCAGCAACGCCGCGUGAGUGAAGAAGGUUUUUGGAUUGUAAAGCUCUUUCGGCUAGGAAGAAGGGCAAUGUGGUUAAUACCCGCAUUGUUUGACGGUACUAGAAGAAGAAGCACCGGCUAAUUCCGUG
RNAcentral lists this ribosomal RNA (484 nucleotides) under uncultured bacterium. RNAcentral's name for it is "bacterial SSU rRNA". It matches the Rfam family "Bacterial small subunit ribosomal RNA", at positions 29 to 507 of the family's 1533-position model. The record is from RNAcentral.